Molecule: long non-coding RNA, 1113 nt
Organism: Osmerus eperlanus (European smelt)
Lineage: Eukaryota; Metazoa; Chordata; Actinopteri; Osmeriformes; Osmeridae
Exons: 3
Source: RefSeq, a predicted model, not a curated record
CGGAUGUUUAUGAAUUUAGCUACGCGCGUUGCCAGUUUAACCAAGUUUACUGUCUUACGACUUUUCAACUUUAGACCACUAUGUUAUGUCACUAAUGUCUUCGAUAUUUAUACCGACGUUGAACUUCGAAAGGAGGAGUACGGUUAUGUGUCUUGGGUGUCAUCCUGUGAAGAUCCCUAAGUUUGGAAAGGAAGUGACUGCUGCUGUUAAUGCUGGCUUGAGGUUCCUGUGCAUCCACAAGCGCCAAAUCCUAAGAAGUGGCUUACCUUGCCAGCUAGUCCCUGGGGUCUAUUCCUUUGAUCAGGAAAAUUGUUGGGAGCGGAGCAGAGACCUGAUCUCUGAUGCAUACAUCAUGCUACUCUCGGAGGGUAGCAAUGCUGAGCGUGAAAUCCAAGAUCCCGGUAAGACCCGUCUCUGUACCAGAGUGAAUGUGAGAUCCAGUGGAAAAUUAUCUUGUCUGUGAAAAUAUAACUUUUUCAACUGUGAGAGGAAGAAUGAUAAAUUGAAGGCCUGUCAGUCCAACACUGCCUCCUACUGGUGAGCUGGAAGAGUUGACUGACUGUCGUCACUCACUCAGACCCUCUCAGACCAACAGUUCUGUUUAAUUGUUAUUCUGUUGUCCUAGUAUCAAAAGAGCAUUGCUGGUAUAAGAUAAUAUAUAAGACAAUGUUUUGAUAUUGUAGGUGAUUUAGUUGGAUUCGACUGGCUGUGACUUUUAGGCUAUAUUAUAUUAUACAAGUAAAUCAUUAACUAAAUGUCUAACUGUCUAUGUGACUAUUAUUCUGCAAGGAUGUAGGAUCAUGGCAUUUUAAACUAAUACAGAAUAUGUAAUUUUUCACUAUUACUUAUUUUUAUUAUAUCCAUACAAAUUAAUGCCUUGCUUAUGUGAGAAGUCUGCCAGAAUGUGUUUUGCAGUGUAAUAUGUGUAAUUAUGAUUUAAAAGUUGUCAUAAAAUAGUAGUGGUAUAGUUAAUUUACCAGUGCUUGAACUACACAGAUUUACAGAUUUUACCCCGUAAAAUAUUUCUAGAGGAAGUUGUUUCAAGUUCACAAUUAAUUCUACAAUACAUAUUAAUAUUACACAAUCUUUAAAUAUUAUUCAGUGACCAUUUUC